This is a long non-coding RNA of Phyllostomus discolor (pale spear-nosed bat), 3424 nucleotides long. RefSeq lists it as uncharacterized. NCBI's taxonomy places the organism in Eukaryota, Metazoa, Chordata, Mammalia, Chiroptera, Phyllostomidae. The record is from RefSeq and is a predicted model, not a curated record. The transcript is spliced from 2 exons.
ACAAGUAGACUAUCCCAACUAGGUUUUCUAUUAUAAUUGCAAAAGUACAUAUUAAUCUACUCAACAUGUUCACUAUGCCACUGACACCUGAUUACAUUAAAAACCUUAUUAAUAAUUUAAAAUUCAUCAACAGAAAUCUAAAAGUUAAAUAUCAUGUAUGCAUAAUGAUAAAAUAUCUUCCAAGCAUCAUUAAAAUACAGUAUCCCUUUUCUAAAAGCCCUACUUAUAAGGGUGAACAAUUUAAAAUAUAAUAAGUACCUAGGUAAAUUUUAAAUUUUGGCUAUACAAAGUUAUGAGGCAACUGAUCUAUGACCUCUACUUUGGUCUUUUGAUGAUCAUAACAACAUUCUAGCAUUUUAAGUUUUCAAAUCACUUUCACUUCUAAGCUUAGGUUCUUUCCUUGCAUAAAAAUUAUUUUCAAAACUUUUCUGUAUCAAUGCUCACUGUAAGUUCUAUUUCCUUUACAAAUUUGAGGGUGGGGUUUAUUAGCAUAAUCCAGGACAGCAUUCCUUAGCAGUAAACAUUCAUUCAAAGACAUAGUGGGCAUCAUAUAAAUAAGGAAGCGGACACAGAGUGUAUAUGUAAGUGUAAACAAGCAUGUACGUAUAAAUCCCCAUGUCACUGAGGCCAUGACAAUCAACUUUAAACACAAGCCCUUAACUAGAAUAUUAGCCCUUAACUAUUUAUAUUUUCAGUAUCGUAUGUGUAUUCUCUAAAUUAGAUGAUAAGCACAUUGGAGACAGUAUCCAAGUUCCAGAGACACAGUGUUCAUUAUACCCUUAAAUACAUGUUGAGGUAGCCAGUUAUGGGGAUGUAAAGUACAGCAUAGGGAACACAGUCAAUAAUACUGUAAUAAUUAUGUAUGGUGCUAGACAAGCAUUAUUACUUUGUGAGUUACGUAAGGGUCUAAUCACUCUGUUGUGCACCUGAAAUUAGUGUAAUAUUGUAUGCUAACUGUAAUUGAAAAAUAAGAAUAAUAAAAAAGUGAAAAAAAUUCAUGAAAGCUUGGGCUACAUAUAAUAUGGGGAAGUAAAGUUGAAAGCUGGAGAGAGACAAGAAUAGAGUAGAAUGAGAAAAGCAGGACAAAAGCAGGGGUGUGCUUCACAAGCAGCCAGGAAUUAGCAAUCCAAAUACCACCUAAGGUGCUGAGAAGGUACACUGUGCCAUCUCAACUGGUUUACUGAUUCUCUCUCUCUCAAUCUAACCUUGGAACACAUGGCCUAAAUAUUUGGUAUUUUUCCUACCUUGUCUCUGCACCUGUAUUGUACUAGUUAAAAAGAUAUAUGUGCAAAGACACACAGUAUGAUUCUCUCUACUCAUUCUUCCACACUCACCCAAGUUCAAGAAGCACUCUCUAAUGAAUGCGACAUCUAAAGAUGUCCUCCCUGGCAAUCCUGAAAGGUUACCUGUGACAAUGCCCAGAGUUCUAUGUUCUCUUCUAUAAUAAGUAGCAUCACAUAUGGCACUUUGUGGUAAUAAUAUAUACUUUUUUUAAACAACAGUAAGGGGCUAACUGAAAAUGUUUGAUUGCUUUUUUGAAAACCUGUUUUCUAAGUUCAUACAAGUCAUAUUAAGCCAACCUCCUCUAAUGUCUAGAUCAACUACAGGUGACAUUUUGUUCAAGAGAACCAGUAGGUUCCAUUAAUCCUUCAACGAUUAAUUGUAAUAUGAUUAAUCCUGACAAGAAAGCAAGUUUUAGUUUACUAUUUUGUACAACUGAUUAGAUACUUAUAUUCCAGAAACAUAUAUAUGAUCUGUGGAUGCUUAUGUUCUAAGAUGCUAAACAUUGUGAACUAGUUUUCCAACUUCACAUUUUAUAAAUAUCAGUAAUUUUCUUAAAUGUAAAAAAAAAAGGUAAGUUAAUUACAGAAUGACCUAGAUCUGGGUUGUGAAAAUGAGGCUUUAAGAAAAAACACUGACUUUUAACAAGUUUGAACAAAACAGAUCAUAUUGGGCAGGGGUCAGCAAAUAGAGUUCACAAGCCAAAUGUGGCCUGCUGCCUGUUUCAUGAAGUUUCACUGGAACACAGCCAUACUCAUUCAUUUAUGUUUUCAAUGAGUAUGGAGGGCUGCUCUCCAACGGUAGAGUGGAGUAGUUGCUAAGCCUAAUAUAUUUACUAUCUGGACCUUCGGAAAAAAAGUAUACUUCCUUCUCCUCCCCUCCCCCUAUUUUUGGGGAACAAUUCUCCACAGGUCUCUUCUGCUUCUGCAUGAUUUCUGAGCAAAGGCAUUAACGACUUUGUUCCUGACAAUUUUUUCAAGGAUGUCUGUACAGUGAACAGCCUUUGGAAACAGGUAAAUGCCUCCCCCUCGAAGCAAAAGUUAGACAGGUUUGCUAACAGGUCCUUAUCAAAGAUGGGGAUCUUCUAUACUCUGGUUCCUCUCUCUGUGUAAAGCAGCACACUGCACAUGCAGUCACCAUCUGGCCGUCAUCGUGUCACCUUGUGGAACUGGAACGCAGAGAAGCAGUGGAAUGAUGAAGCAGUGCAAAUGAUGUUACUCUGCUGUAAUAGCCUACUACGUUGUUGUGAGCAAUCAACUGUUCUUUGCCUUGUGUCUUCUAUGGGUAUCCAUGCAAUUGUCUCAGCCUGGCGUUAUCUCAUACCUUCAGAGUUCUUAGUACCUUCCCCCACCCCAUUUUUGGUCACUCAGCAAUUCCCAGAUCCACUUACUCUAAAUAGCUAAAUUAACACUUAGUAGGACUAUCAUAUGCAGUGGCACCUGACUGAGGGGGUGGAUAUGAGCUUAAAUUCCAGCUUACAUCCAAGGGUGGCCUUUUUGGAAUCUAUACAGUGGCACCGUAUGAGCUAGUGGCUUUGCUAAAGAGACCACUUUACAUGGUAGAAACAAUUUUUUCCUUUUGACUUUCCUUUAUGAAAUUCCAUGUUUUGACUGAGUUAAUUAGUCCUCUCUUUGGUUUGUAUAUGGAAGGUUCUUGAAGCGAACAUACUCCUACCCCUUCUGAAGCUUGGUUUUCUGUGAAAUACUCUAUCUAGCAUUCCUUCUAGUAGCUCCUCCCCACCCUGCCUUUUUGCUUAAGCUAGUUCAACUGGGUUUCUAUCAUUUAACUUCCCCACCAAACUACUGAUCAGGACUAGUCACAUUUCAGGACAUUAACUAGAGGAGCAGGAAAUGAACUAAUAAUGGGAGAACAUGCUCUCUCGUCCCUUUUCCUGGACCUUGGUAGACAUGAAUGGGGAGAUCAGAGACUCACGUAUGGCUUCUGACUAGAAUGAGUCAUAAGAAUCUAUCAAUUCUGUAAGUCAAAAGAGUUGAAUUAGCAAUUCAGAUGGUUCAGCAGUGAUUUUCAACAUUUCUCAUCUCCUAGUGAAUAUAAACUAAUUAAUAAAAUUAUGCAGCACACCAAAUAAUACAUUUCUUUGCUGAUCUGACAAAAAAUAGGCAUACAUUUGGUUCAUUCACAC